This 548-nucleotide small RNA is filed under the name Pan troglodytes (chimpanzee). Its description in RNAcentral is "retained intron". Lineage: Eukaryota; Metazoa; Chordata; Mammalia; Primates; Hominidae. The record is from RNAcentral.
AUAGGUGCUCAGGUUCAGGGCUUCGACGGGGAUGGUUUUGGAACUCGGGAGCCCUGAGCUUCCCCCUCCUCUGUCCCCUAGGACAUCCUGAACCACGUGUUCGACGACGUAGAGAGCUUUGUAUCGAGGCUGCAGAAGUCGGCGGAGGCGGCCAGGGUGCUGGAGCACAGGGAACGCGGCCGCAGGACCCGGCGCCGGGCGGCUGGGGAGGGCCUGCUGACGCUGCGGGCCAAGCCGCCCUCGGAGGCCGAGUACACCGACGUGCUGCAGAAGAUCAAGUACGCCUUCAGCCUGCUGGCCCGGCUGCGCGGCAACAUCGCCGACCCCUCCUCUCCGGAGCUGUUGCACUUCCUUUUCGGGCCUCUGCAGAUGAUUGUGAACACGUCGGGGGGGCCGGAGUUCGCGAGCAGUGUUAGGCGGCCGCACCUGACGUCGGAUGCCGUGGCGCUGCUGCGGGACAACGUCACUCCACGUGAAAACGAGCUCUGGACCUCGUUGGGGGACUCGUGGACCCGCCCCGGGCUGGAGCUGCCCCCGGAAGAGGGACC